RNAcentral lists this non-coding RNA (355 nucleotides) under Anolis carolinensis (green anole). RNAcentral describes it as "Eukaryotic large subunit ribosomal RNA". It matches the Rfam family "Eukaryotic large subunit ribosomal RNA", at positions 1456 to 1719 of the family's 3401-position model. Lineage: Eukaryota; Metazoa; Chordata; Lepidosauria; Squamata; Anolidae. The record is from Rfam by way of RNAcentral.
GGUAGUCGCAAAUAUUCAAAUUAGAGAUUUGAAGGCUCAAGUGAAGAAGGGUUCCAUAUGAAUAGCAGUGGAACAUGGGUCUGUCGAUCCAAAGAGAUAGGCGAGUGCUGUUCUGAAGGGACAGGCAAUGACCUCCAUCAUCCUCACCCAAUUGAAAGGGAGUUGGGUUCAGAUCCCCGAAUCUGGAAGGUGCGAUCCGAUGUCUGCCGCCAAGUGCCCGUCUCACCCACCCCAUCGGGGAGGUGAAGCAUGAGAGCGUGUGAUAGGACCCAAAAGAUGGUGAACUAUGCAAAGCCAGAGGAAACUCUGGUGGAGGUUCAUAGCAGUCCUCAUUUGCAAAUCAAUCAUUCUAUCU